This 975-nucleotide ribosomal RNA is filed under the name Cleigastra apicalis. RNAcentral describes it as "eukaryotic LSU rRNA". It matches the Rfam family "Eukaryotic large subunit ribosomal RNA", at positions 123 to 916 of the family's 3401-position model. Lineage: Eukaryota; Metazoa; Arthropoda; Insecta; Diptera; Scathophagidae. The record is from RNAcentral.
UGUCUAUAUGGUAAAUGUGAGAUGCAGUGUAUGGAAUGUCAAAUUUCUAGUAUGAGAAAUUAACGAUUUAAGUCCUUCUUAAAUGAGGCCAUUUACCCAAAGAGGGUGCCAGGCCCGUAUAACGUUAAUGAUUACUAGAUGACAUUUCCAAAGAGUCGUGUUGCUUGAUAGUGCAGCACUAAGUGGGUGGUAAACUCCAUCUAAAACUAAAUAUAACCAUGAGACCGAUAGUAAACAAGUACCGUGAGGGAAAGUUGAAAAGAACUCUGAAUAGAGAGUUAAAUAGUACGUGAAACUGCUUAGAGGUUAAGCCCGAUGAACCUGAAUAUCCAUUAUGGGAAAUUCAUCAUUAUGAUUUUAAUAUUUAUAAUAUUAUAAUAAUGGUGUGCAUUUUUUCCAUAUAAGGACAUUGUAAUCUAUUAACUAAAAAGAUUUAUCAUAAGGUCAAUUGCUAUAGUUUAUUCAAAUUAUUUUGCUUGCAAUUUAACAUAGAAUAAAUGCUGUUGAUUUGAUAAAGUGUUGAUAGAUUUAUUAUAUAUAGUGCUUGAAUAUAUUUAUAUAUUCUGUAAUAGCGUAUUGAUCAAUGAUUUUUAUGUUCAUUAUAUGCACUUAUAUGAUUAACAAUGCGAAAGAUUCAGGAUACCUUCGGGACCCGUCUUGAAACACGGACCAAGGAGUCUAACAUAUUUGCAAGUUAUUGGGAAUUAAAAACCUAAUAGCAAAAUUAACAUAACUUAUAUAAUGGGAUUAGUUUUUUAGCUCUAUUUUAUAGACUAUUAAUUCAAUCCCGGGGCGUUCUAUACAGUUAUGCAUAAUAAUAUUUAUAUUAUUUAUGCCUCUAACUAGAGCGUACCUUGAGCAUAUAUGCUGUGACCCGAAAGAUGGUGAACUAUACUUGAUCAGGUUGAAGUCAGGGGAAACCCUGAUGGAAGACCGAAACAGUUCUGACGUGCAAAUCGAUUGUCAGAAUUGAGU